AGCGAACGCUGGCGGCAGGCCUAACACAUGCAAGUCGAACGAUCCCUUCGGGGAUAGUGGCGGACGGGUGAGUAACACGUGGGAACGUGCCUUUAGGUUCGGAACAACACAGGGAAACUUGUGCUAAUACCGGAUGUGCCCUUCGGGGGAAAGAUUUAUCGCCUUUAGAGCGGCCCGCGUCUGAUUAGCUAGUUGGUGAGGUAAAGGCUCACCAAGGCUACGAUCAGUAGCUGGUCUGAGAGGAUGAUCAGCCACACUGGGACUGAGACACGGCCCA
This 277-nucleotide ribosomal RNA is filed under the name uncultured bacterium. RNAcentral describes it as "partial 16S ribosomal RNA". It matches the Rfam family "Bacterial small subunit ribosomal RNA", at positions 29 to 333 of the family's 1533-position model. The record is from RNAcentral.